AACAAAAAUUGUACGUUUUUAUUAUGCUCAAGUCUAUCUCCCUUCCUAGUUCCCAUUUGUUUAUUACUAAAGAACUGUGCUUUAGUAGUUGGCAGAAUCUCCGGGAAAUUUCAUAGCGUAAAAGGCUUCCUUCUGUGCCCGGGAAACAAAGAAACACGUGCAAAGGGAGGCAAACCAUCAAAUGGGAAGCAGCAAAUGUGAAAACCUGCACAAGAACGUGCCAAGAUAGGCACCUGUGGGAAAGCACUCUAAAAACCACAAGCGCGAGUUGCACGAUACAGCUAUUUCCCCACGGCUGAGCGAUCCAGCGAGCUCUGCUGAGCGGAUUCAGGAACGCGGGGCCGAACAGGAGCGGCGCUUUCCGGCAGCCUCCGCGGGAACCCUCCGGGACCGCGGCCUCCCUCCACCACCCCCAGAGAGCUCCUCCGCCGCGCCUCCCCCGUAAACCGCGGCGGCAGAACCCGCCCAGCGCCGUCCCCACCACCGCCGAGGGCCGUGCGGNGCGGCCGCCGUGAGGGGGUCGGGCGGCCCCAGGGGCCUGAAGCGGCACGGCACGGCACGGCAGGCGCGCCUCAGUGAGCGGAAUUAUUCUAACGAGCCGUCAUUUGACCUUAGUGUUAGUUAUGGGCAGGUCCAUUAUUUGAAAAGUUUGUUACAUCUUAUGAGCUCAAAGAAGGUUGCACAGUAAUGAAACACAUUGAGAAUUUUUGGCUUUUGAUGACUUCUAGAGAGCUUUCCAUUUCUCCUAAGUUAUCUGAAAAAAUAAUAUUUGAAGCCACCAGGAAAUCCACGUUCAAGAGCUGUCUAGAAAAGAUUUAA
This 819-nucleotide long non-coding RNA is filed under the name Cyanistes caeruleus (blue tit). Its description in RNAcentral is "lncRNA (ENSCCEG00000018214.1)". The record is from RNAcentral. Lineage: Eukaryota; Metazoa; Chordata; Aves; Passeriformes; Paridae.